This 446-nucleotide ribosomal RNA is filed under the name uncultured bacterium. Its description in RNAcentral is "partial 16S ribosomal RNA". It matches the Rfam family "Bacterial small subunit ribosomal RNA", at positions 338 to 795 of the family's 1533-position model. The record is from RNAcentral.
CCUACGGGAGGCAGCAGUCGAGAAUCAUUCACAAUGGGGGAAACCCUGAUGGUGCGACGCCGCGUGGGGGAAUGAAGGUCUUCGGAUUGUAAACCCCUGUCAUGUGGGAGCAAAUUAAAAAGAUAGUACCACAAGAGGAAGAGACGGCUAACUCUGUGCCAGCAGCCGCGGUAAUACAGAGGUCUCAAGCGUUGUUCGGAAUCACUGGGCGGAAAGCGUGCGUAGGCUGUUUCGUAAGUCGUGUGUGAAUGGCGCGGGCUCAACCCGCGGACGGCACAUGAUACUGCGAGACUAGAGUAAUGGAGGGGGAACCGGAAUUCUCGGUGUAGCAGUGAAAUGCGUAGAUAUCGAGAGGAACACUCGUGGCGAAGGCGGGUUCCUGGACAUUAACUGACGCUGAGGCACGAAGGCCAGGGGAGCGAAAGGGAUUAGAUACCCUUGUAGUC